This 1414-nucleotide ribosomal RNA is filed under the name uncultured bacterium. Its description in RNAcentral is "16S ribosomal RNA". It matches the Rfam family "Bacterial small subunit ribosomal RNA". The record is from RNAcentral.
AGAGUUUGAUCCUGGCUCAGGAUGAACGCUAGCGACAGGCCUAACACAUGCAAGUCGAGGGGCAUCGGGGCGAGGAGCAAUCCUUGCCGCCGGCGACCGGCGCACGGGUGAGUAACGCGUAUGCGACCUGCCCGUUGCAGGGGGAUAAUCGGGAGAAAUCCCGUCUAAUACCGCGUAAUGCCGCGGGGCUGCAUGGCCCUGCGGCCAAAGGGAGCGAUUCCGGCAACGGAUGGGCAUGCGUGACAUUAGCUAGUUGGCGGGGCAACGGCCCACCGAGGCGACGAUGUCUAGGGGUUCUGAGAGGAAGGUCCCCCACACUGGUACUGAGACACGGACCAGACUCCUACGGGAGGCAGCAGUGAGGAAUAUUGGUCAAUGGGCGCGAGCCUGAACCAGCCAAGUCGCGUGAGGGAUGACGGCCCUACGGGUUGUAAACCUCUUUUGUCGGGGAGCAAAUUCCGUUACGUGUAACCGGAGUCGAGAGUACCCGAAGAAAAAGCAUUCGGCUAACUCCGUGCCAGCAGCCGCGGUAAUACGGAGGAUGCGAAGCGUUAUCCGGAUUUAUUGGGUUUAAAAGGGUGCGUAGGCGGAACUGUCAGUCAGCGGGUAAAAUACGGGGGCUCAACCUCCCGCCCCGCCGUUGAAACUGACGGUCUUGAGUGGGCGAGAAGUAUGCGGAAUGCGUGGUGUAGCGGUGAAAUGCAUAGAUUAUCACGCAGAACUCCGAUUGCGAAGGCAGUAUACCGGCGCCCAACUGACGCUGAAGCACGAAAGCGUGGGUAUCGAACAGGAUUAGAUACCCUGGUAGUCCACGCAGUAAACGAUGAAUACUAGCUGUCCGGGGCGAAUGAGCCCUGGGUGGCACAGCGAAAGCGUUAAGUAUUCCACCUGGGGAGUACGCCGGCAACGGUGAAACUCAAAGGAAUUGACGGGGGCCCGCACAAGCGGAGGAACAUGUGGUUUAAUUCGAUGAUACGCGAGGAACCUUACCCGGGCUCAAACGACACAGGAACGUACCUGAAAGGGUUCGGCUCUACGGAGCCUGUGUCGAGGUGCUGCAUGGUUGUCGUCAGCUCGUGCCGUGAGGUGUCGGCUUAAGUGCCAUAACGAGCGCAACCCCCAUCGACAGUUGCUAACAGGUCAGGCUGAGGACUCUGUCGAGACUGCCGGCGCAAGCUGCGAGGAAGGCGGGGAUGACGUCAAAUCAGCACGGCCCUUACGUCCGGGGCGACACACGUGUUACAAUGGCAGGUACAGCGGGAAGCCACCUGGCGACAGGGAGCGGAACCCGAAAGCCUGUCUCAGUUCGGAUUGGAGUCUGCAACCCGACUCCAUGAAGCUGGAUUCGCUAGUAAUCGCGCAUCAGCCACGGCGCGGUGAAUACGUUCCCGGGCCUUGCACUCACCGCCCGUCA